RNAcentral lists this ribosomal RNA (253 nucleotides) under uncultured bacterium. RNAcentral describes it as "partial 16S ribosomal RNA". It matches the Rfam family "Bacterial small subunit ribosomal RNA", at positions 524 to 776 of the family's 1533-position model. The record is from RNAcentral.
UACAGAGGGUGCAAGCGUUAAUCGGAAUUACGGGGCGUAAAGCGUGCGUAGUCGGUUAUCUAAGUCGGGUGUGAAAUCCCCGGGCUCAACCUGGGAAUUGCAUUCGAUACUGGAUAGCUAGAGUUCGGCAGAGGGAAGCGGAAUUUCGGGUGUAGCGGUGAAAUGCGUAGAUAUCCGAAGGAACAUCAGUGGCGAAAGCGGCUUCCUGGACCAGAACUGACGAUCAGGCACGAAAGCGUGGGGAGCAAACAGG